UACGUAGGGUGCGAGCGUUGUCCGGAAUUAUUGGGCGUAAAGAGCUCGUAGGCGGUGUGUCACGUCGAUCGUGAAAACUUACAGCUUAACUGUGAGCGUGCGGUCGAUACGGGCAUCACUGGAGUUCGGCAGGGGAGACUGGAAUUCCUGGUGUAGCGGUGAAAUGCGCAGAUAUCAGGAGGAACACCGGUGGCGAAGGCGGGUCUCUGGGCCGGUACUGACGCUGAGGAGCGAAAGCUAGGGGAGCAAACAGG
This 254-nucleotide ribosomal RNA is filed under the name uncultured bacterium. Its description in RNAcentral is "partial 16S ribosomal RNA". It matches the Rfam family "Bacterial small subunit ribosomal RNA", at positions 524 to 776 of the family's 1533-position model. The record is from RNAcentral.